Molecule: long non-coding RNA, 9234 nt
Organism: Gasterosteus aculeatus aculeatus (three-spined stickleback)
Lineage: Eukaryota; Metazoa; Chordata; Actinopteri; Perciformes; Gasterosteidae
Source: Ensembl
CGUCUCCCACUGGUCCCAUCGUGGUGCCGGGAAGAAGGAGGACCCUCUCUACAGAGUCCCCAGACUACCAACAUCAAAGCGUUAAAGAACUAAGUCACCCGGAGGGUCCACUGCUGCAGCCGGAUGACAGAAAGACAUAAAUUGCAUUUCUGACGGCGCACAACUCCCCCCCUCAACCGUACCAUGCGCGUCGUACCCCCGUCGACCAGACCAUCGCUGAUGGUUUCACGGGUCCGGCCCCCUACCUAAGAUGAGUUUGACACCCCUCUACUGGUCACUAACGCCUGCCUGGUUAAAGACAUUUGGACAUCUCUCCCGUAGAGGCGUCAUGGUGUCCUAACGGUGUCUCAGGCGACGCUACCACAUGUUGAAUUUUCCAGGCAUUGUGAUGAGCUCUCUCCAUUUACUUUGGUUGACUCUCAGCGUAAAUGUGACUUAAUCAAUGUGUCAUUCAGCAGUGAUUUAUUUCUUCUAAAAGGACAUACGGGUCAGCCGGGCCUGGGAUCGAACCGCCAACCCUCUGAUUGGAGGACGACCGCGAUCCCCACUCACCCACAGUCGCCCGACUCACUGUGGUGAACCGUGUACGGGAAUCUGCCACAUUGGCCUCGAUGUUGUCUGUUCCUGUGCAUGGAGAAGCUGCAGGUCGCUCCUCUCCUCUGCUCUUAUAGUUCAGGUGUCGUUAGUAAAUUAGCCGUAUGCUUGAUUGAUAGUGUAAUGGUUUAAUCAAUAUCAAUGCGUUGACUCCAUCACCUGCCGCGCUCCGAGCACCUCCAGCUCUCCGCCCUCUCUCCUGGCUUUUAUGAAGCCAUUCCUCAUUGUGUCCGCUGCAUCACUGCCGUAUCUUUCCCACAAUGCCUCUGCUCUGCUGCCUCAACGCUCAUCAUCCCUUGAGUUUAGGCUCACGUAAAUGAACCCUUUUAUAAAAAUGAUAAAGCAAUCGUAAAAGACUAAUUUGGACUAAAACGUCACACUUCAAACGAAGGCAGGUGACUUCAUUGUAAAACACGUACACGUGCAAGAAGGAACCCGACAACGCUGAGGGAAAGGGUUGAAAUAAACAAGUCCACGAGGCAGGGGAUGCUUUGGGGCGGGGCUACUGUGAGUGACAGGUCUCCACCAGACUACAUAGCGGACGGGUUUAUCAGAUACUGGACCCUCCCCCGGGGGGGCUCCGGUUUUGUUUCCUUAAAGAUGCUUUGCUUAAAAUAGGUUCCAUCAAACUUUAAUCUCACAACUUUGGAAAUCAGAUGUCGGCGUCUUCUCAGGUAGAGACCUGUCAAUCAGCGUGUAGCCCCGCCCCAAAGCGUCCUCUGCUUCAUGGUCUGUUUGACUCUAAAUGGACCAUGAUUCACUAAAUGAACAUCAUGCUGUACUGAAUAAGACUUGAAAGACUUGUUUACUGAGGGAAUAAAUCCAGCAGAAAAAGAGUAAUUUCCUCAUAGACGUCUAUGGGAGCAGAGGAGUCGCCCCCUGCUGGUCACUACAGAGAAGUAGAGUCAUUUCCUCAUAGACGUCUAUGGGAGCAGAGGAGUCGCCCCCUGCUGGUCACUACAGAGAAGUAGAGUCAUUUCCUCAUAGACGUCUAUGGGAGCAGAGGAGUCGCCCCCUGCUGGAGAGAAGACCUUUUAGUCCAAUGGGUAUUUGCCUAGAAUGAUAGACCCCCCCGCCCAAACCCAACGUUUUAUGGUGGAUGACAUAUGAUGUUAUUUCCAUGAAGGAAUAACAGGAGCCCCCCAGCAAAGACAUCUCAGGCUUCCUUUCUUUCUAAUAGCUCUGUGAUUUCUCCAUAAAAGCUCAUGAAGUAUAAUCGAUCCCGUGUUUCAUAUCGCUGGUGUCAGACAGUCACUCUGUAUUCAGAAGCAUUUUAUUGCCUUCUAACGCUGCAAUGUUCUGCUAAUGCUGCGGUCUGAGUCUCUCUCAUCGUUACCGUCGUCCGUGUCCAUCCAGCGGCUCACAGGAGGAACCUUCUGCCACGAAUAUCUCACAACAACAGCGGACAUGUGACACCCAGUGACUUGGCGUCCGUUUGUGUGAGCGGUGUGUGGCUCCAGAUGUUAACGAGCCCACAGAGAGCGACGGAGGUUCUGGUGGUGCACAUUGGGGUGGGGUGGGUCGGGGGGGGGGCUGUCCUGCCUCAAGAACUCCCCAGAUGAGCCCCUCACACGGACGGGACAACGGGGGUAAGAAAACUCACGGCGGCGACGCCACAAGCUACUGAAGUAGUGAGGUGAAUGGGAGACGCGUGCGGCCAUUUUGAACAGAGGAGGGAGCGUGGCGGGGGAGGGGGGGAGGAAGGGGAGGGAGAACAGGAUCUUGAAGAAUCCCCCACGGAGACGGAUCGCACAGCAGUCGCUUGCUUGCAAUGUUUCACUUACAGCACCAGUCACAUGUUGCCACAUCACAUAAACAUCAUCCCCCACACACACACACACACACACACACCUCUUACCAGCAAUCCAGUAAUGUCUGCUCAGGCAUGGCGGCACAUGUAACUGUUUUCUCUGCUUUGCUGUCAGCCCCCCCGACACACAAUGUCCGUAAUGAUGAUUCUCCACGAGACCCUUCGAGGAACAUAAUCUCUUUUUACAACACAAUCAGGCAAACAGCGGAACAUUAUUCCCUUUACUCAUUUUGCAGCCGCCACCUGCAGCAUUGCGCUGCCUGUGUGUUUGGUAAAUUGGUUUUAUUGCACCUCAUGUUGCGAUGAUGAUGGUUGCCGUGCGAGCACUUCAACUAAAGUGGAUUCUGGAGGCAGAGACACCGUUUCGGCUCACGUGAUCGUCUUCUUCUCUGGAGCGGCUUUGUUCGCCAAUGCCACAGUGUCAUAAUUGGUCCUGAUGUGAUUUGAUGUUGCUUAUUGGGCCUACCAAUUAAAACCAGUUGACAAUUUCCAUUGUUGUCGGGCCGUUUCGGUCACACACAAGCAGACUGGUGUCAAAACACCAAAUGACUCCCAGUUAUUAUCCCUUUUCACCCACGCAGAUGUUUGUCGGUUUAAUUGCCUCACUUUGUCCUCACUGGUUGGAAUUGGACAUUUUACCAGCAAGUAGCGCACACAACGAACUCCAUAUGAAAGACGGAUACUGUAAACCGCCCCAUCCCCCCGGCGGACACAGAGGUCGUGUCGUUAGCGGCUCCUAUUAGCGUGUUGUUCUCCGGAACAUUUCCUGUGACGCGGUGUUCUGUUCCUGGAAGGGAAGCAGCUGCAGGGGAGUGAGGCGGAUACCGAUCCAGCACAGCGUGUACACGCCCCCACAGUGCAGACCUGCAAUUAGGCAAAAGAGAGGACACCUGUGGGGGGGGCAGGGCCUCCGCCAUACGACGGGUGUGAAGAGUCUUGUGUGUUUUAACGGGGAAAGAAAGAACAUCAGCGACAUCGGUGGACCUUAAAUCGCACGAUCCGAAAGCUGCCGCUGGUUUGUUGAUAUGAAAAUCACACAUCACAGCCUCCACCCGACCCCCCACCGUGAAAAUAUCUGUUCAUCUCCAAUGUGUCCUCCACGCCGCGAGAUGCUCGGAUGGAGGCCGCCGACCAAACGGGCUUUUAUCAGGAGAACUUGGUAAACACCAGCAAAUUCAAUCCGACAAAAUCAUUUUUCCCUCGACACUUUCUUCACUUUGCAGGAGGCUGUUUCUUAAUUUCCCAUUUCCCCCGAGCGGCGGCAGCAAUGUUCUUGCGUACGAAAAUCCAAUAUCGGUAUUCAACUUGAGCUUAAUAAAAGAAAAUAAUGCGUUUCCCUCCCGGCAGUGGGUGGAAACACACUGUUAAUACGGCCAAUUGACUGCGUCCUUUUAGUAAAGUGCGCGAUUAUUUUUCCUCACUUUUCUUUGGUUGUUCGAGGUGAAUCCAACGUUGUGUGUCUAGUAUUCUAUUUCUAUUCAAGCAGCUGUAAAAAGUCUCGGAGAACAAUUCAGUAAUUGGAAGCAAAGUACUUUAUGAUUCAAUGUUCAAUCAAGCUAAAACCGUGUUGUGGUAAAAGUCAUUUUGUACAAUUUGGCUUUUUUCUUGGUUGGUUCAUCAUUAGUGAAACAAAGAGGCGGCUGCGUUUUAAUGGAGUCACAGUCCUCCGUUCGCUUUAACGCAUUGCCGUCGAGAGAGGUUGCCUGUUUGAGUCCCAGACUAAAUUGACAUUCUUUACCCCACAUCUUGCUUGGAGGUUCUUGUGCAGGGACCCGGCUGUGAUGCAGGGUCUACGUUCUUCUUUCGUCUCUCAAACACGGAUCCUGCUCAUUGCACAGUGGUGAGUUUGCACAUGAGCUCUACUAUGAAGUCAAAUGGGACCAGAGGACAUAUUGUCACACACGUGGGUAAGAAUGGGCGGCAAAAGCCUCUCCAGUUAAAUGAAACCAUAAUGACAGAUAUUUUUUAAAUAAGAAGCCUCAGAAGCCCAUUUUUAUAAUCAGCUGAACAUCAUUCUUGUCAUGUAAAAAAAGAUGAAUCUUUGUAUUACUGGUUCCCUUUUUCCUUUGCUCUUCUCCAAAUGACUUCUAGAGUCUUAUUCUCUUCUCAUUCUCAUCUCUCUCGCUGCCCCCCAAACCUUCUGGAGCCAAGCAGCCCGUCCAAAACAUUUACAGUUCUGGAGAGGAAGAGAGACAGCGACAGGAGAACCACCAAAGACCAUGGGAGACCAAACAAGUUAGAGGACAAGGGGAGGCAGCUGAGCGGGCUAAACAUUCAUGGGAGACUGAAAGAGAACGGAUUAAGGGACGGGGGUGGGUGGAGAGAGAGGGUAAGGUGGGUGGGUGGAGAGAGAGAGAGGGUAAGAUGGGUGGAGAGAGAGGGUAAGGUGGGUGGGUGGAGAGAGAGAGGGUAAGAUGGGUGGAGAGAGAGGGUAAGAUGGGUGGAGAGAGAGGGUAAGGUGGGUGGAGGGAGAGGGUAAGAACAGCUGGAGGAGGCAACGGGUGGAUGAACGAUGAGCAGGAGGGAAACUGGGAAAAAUCCCACAGCUCCAAAGCAAGAAGAAGGCUGUUAGAACCAAACCUGUUCCCCCCACAACACCAGCCUGAGUUUCAUGAGACUGUUGAUUAAUUAAGUCAGUGAUCACCUUGCCAGCUGGUUUAAUAUUUGACUUUCAAACCGCAUUGACUCUCGUUAUUAAUUGGGAGCAUCUCAUCUCUAUUGUUUGUCUUUGGAUUUUAUUUUCUUCCAACAUGUUCAAUAAAUAAAUGCUGCGUGAGAAUCGGCGGAUGACCAGAGGUUUGGCACGACGUCAUGGAUGGAUCAGAGCCUGGCGGCUGUGUACUCGGCUCAGGCCUGAGCUUUAGAGUCAACGACGUGUAUAACUGGCAAAGGUUGACCCAGUGCUUCUUUAGUACCAACUCCCUCCUUGGUUUUACACAUUUGGACUGCGAGGUCGGAGUCUGCCGCUUCCUGCUAACAGAUAAACCCGUCCAAAUAUGCUCCAUCCUCAAUUAUGUAUCCAGGGACACAUGGUUAGUCCCGGAUUACGUCCUCAGAGAGCAGUAGUUGGUGAGGGGGGGUUGGAAUAGAUUACAGGCCGUCUGGAUGUCAGGGGCUGGACAGACAUGAAUACAGGUACACCGCACAGAGAAGAACACUUUCUGCCUUCAUGAUGGAUCGACUGGAAGCAGUAGGAGGACUGGAGGACUGCACGAGUCCUUGAAUUGAACUCCAACUUUCUGCCAACAGAACAACCCAAACAUCCGGCGUUCACACUGCAUCAACGUUAUGGAGAUUACCAAAGCAAUGAAGACAUUGGUAAGAACCAAAGACAAUGAAGACAUCGGUAAGAACCGAAGAGGAUGCAGACAUCGAUAAGAACCAAAGACGAUGGAGACAUUGAUAAGAACCAAAGACAAUGAAGACAUCGGUAAGAACCAAAGACAAUGGAGACAUCGGUGUGAACCGAAGACAAUGGAGACAUCGAUAAGAACCAAAGGCAAUGAAGACAUUGAUAGAAAGGCGGUUUCCUUUUUGCCACAGGUUGAAUACCAGCCGGCAAACUUUGAGGUAGAAUAAAGAUGUUUCCUUAUUGUUUCCCUUUGCUCACACCAGCAUACCUGCUCAUUAUCAAACAAACCAUCGUACAUGAAUGUGGAUAGCACCAACUCAGCUUAGUGACGUCUUCUGUAUUGAUCUCCUUGUUCAUCUGGACCGAAGAUUCUUUUCCACUUUCUUCAUGAAUCCGUGUUCCUAAGCAUCCCAAUCAGCUUCGCCUGUGAGUCAAUCAGGCUUAGCUUCAGUUACAAGAAAUAGAAUUGGUUUGACGGCAGGUUAACAAACCUCCCGUCCAAUGAAUGAGUGACCGUGUGUGCUCCACAUUACAAACACACACACACACACAUACUGACACAACAAGUACUGCUUCCGCCAACCGGAGCCGCCGGUUCAGUGGCGUGAGAGCGGAAGUCGUCUGAAGUUCGAUUUGAAAAGAGGCGUAACGAGUGGAACCUUCUCGCUCCGGAGGAUUGAUGUGGAACGUUAUUCAGGAAUCAUUUUAAUUAAGUGACUGCGUCCUCGCUGACUUUCCAACACUGCUUGUUGGAUCUACUCAUCUGAGUGAAAGUCACACAACGUCCCACUCGGUGACUGAAGGGUUUCCGUUAUCACAGCCUGGUCAAAUUACUGUUGUCUGACUCAACAUUUAAAUGGUCUCCUUUGUACAUUAAUAAAUGAUGACAGUUGUCCAAAUCCUAGUUGAAUUCAACAAAGUUGCGAUCCGAUUAGAACCGAUUAAGACCGACUACUUGAGAGUCACGCGUCCACAGAAUGAAUUCGCCCCUGAUGACAGUUUAAUGGGGGUGGGAGGGGUUGUCCAUUGGGGGAGGGGCUUUAGUGUACAGCAGACUGCUGUGGCACGUCGCCUCGUCACUCAACAAAACAAACCAACAAGCCAGACAACUUCUGGACUCUGGUGAGGACCGAACAACAGCAGAUCACAGCUGUCUUGGUUUGGUUGUUGGACGCCACUCUGGUAUCACCAUGCCGCUCCAUCAGGAUUCCGCCCCUGUAAUCCCCGACUGUCGUCGCAGGUGGAUGCCUCCUUCCCCUUUUCACGCAGAUACUAGAUAAGAGGUUUGAGAGCGCCUCGUCUCUAUUUUCAAACCCUCUCCAGGCUCCUAAGUGUUCGCGAACAAUCAAGAUUCUCCGGCGAUAGCGUCGCCCCGCCUCGGGUUUAUCUUGAUUACCAUCCGGAAAGCUUAUUUUCAUAUUGGGAGUUUGGAAUUGAUUUUGUAUCCCCGCGUGGAGCCGAUGGAGUGAAGCCGAGCGGAUCGGUUGGCUGCAGAUGGAGAACAACCCGAAUCCUCACAGGCUGGAAGACGGAGGCAGGAACCGAGAGCCGUGAGGGACCGAGGAGACCUCAGAAAACAGAGAGCAGUGAUGGGCCGCAGAGAUUAGAAGGUGACAAUCAGACUCUUUAAAUUGUCUUUUACUGAUUCUUGUUCCCUCCGCUUGGCUCUCUUGUGGCGCCUGCUUCCCGCUUCACAUAAAAACUCUUUGGAUCACAUCUUAAAGGAGCGUCUCUGUCUCCCCUUUGGCCUCCGCCAUCUCUCCACUGCUAAGUCACCUCUCUCAUUUAACAAUGCAGCCACUCAGCUUUUACCACCACGUCACCUCUCCACCGGUCUCCCCUUCACACCAGCGCUUCUUCCCAUCUACUCAAUUGGAUUCAGUCCAGCUGCUGUUUGCUUUCAGGUGCUGUCGGGUACUGAUGAACAAACGGGAGCGAAAGGAAGCGCUUUGUGUGCAGAACGAUCAGCGUCCGUCGUUAUUCUGUGUGGUUCUGCUGCGCUGACCGAUGUUGACCAAGAAUUUUUACAAGAUGAGAUAGAGAUAUUCACAUUGAGAAGGACGUUAACGUAUGAAUAACACAGGACUUAAACCUGAAUCAACAUGGCAUCCUGUCCACGUCUGAUCUGAUUACUUAAGUCCUUUUUCCUCCUCUGUCGGUUUCACAUCAUCCAUCUUUCUGCUUCCCGUGAUCGAAUUUUGAUUCAUUGCGUUGGCAGCAUAAAUAGAUAAGAAAACAUGGUGCACAUGUAAACAAUCCGCCUUCUUGUCUCCCGCCUGCUUUCCCCGUCCUCACAGUCAUUUUUCACAUCACUUAAUUGAAAGAGGGAAUCAAUUGAGGAGAUGAAACUAGUCCUGAGAUUGAAUUUGAGGGAAAAGACCAUUUCAUGACGUGAGUUAUUCAAGAGGUCGACAGGUCAGCAGAGAGAAGCGAUAGCGAAGGACUUCACUCAACCUCUGAAGGGUUUUGAGGUUCAAAAGGACACUGGUGGGACAUCUGUCCACUCUUCACUAUGUGUCUCCUUCAAACCAUUUCAUCACUGCCCUCACAGCUGUUGACCAAAGGAUAAACAUCUUGGACCUGUGACCCAGAAUCCUGCUGGUAGAAUCUUCCACCUGAACUAAAUCCACAGGAAGGAUCAAGAACCAGCAUCUGUCUGUGUCUCAGAGGACCACCGGCGGAUGAAGAUGAAGGCAAAGGGCGGUUUGUUUCAUGCUUUAGUAAAUGUUCCACGGUCCAAAUGAUAUAAAAAUGGCUUAGAACAAACAGCAAUGCUGUAAAAUGUCCAUUAUGAUAAAGAAAGACAGCGAGCAAUAAGAGUACGAGCCAGAAAUAUGAACAGGUUUUACUCCGAUAAAUACGUGACUGUAAAGUUAGCAUCUGCUCUUUGUUAACAUAAUCCCACAGUGUUUAUGGAGCAGCUUCUUCAGAGUGGAUACGGAUCACUGCCUUGCUUGAAGGCAUCUCAGCGGCUCCCAGAUGCCAGAAUGUUGUGAGCCAGCCGCUCCAGUUCCAAACCCACUCCUCAUCUCCGCCAUCCAAAGAGCUCGCAGCUAGGUGCGCUGGCCCGGGACGGCAGCGCUCCGUGUUCCUCUGUGGGAACAGAUGUCUCCGGCUCUCCGGGUCAGUUGGGCCGAGCUGAAAGACGCAGACGUCUUUCAGUCGGAAGGCCUGUCAAGAAUAAAGAAGAAUAAAAAAGGUGUGUCGUCGCGGGGAGACCGACGGCGUGUCACGGCCGUCUUUUCAACGUGGCUUUGAUCAUCUGUCACGUCCGGAGAUCCAGUCUGUGAGAGCGGAUCCCGUUAGAUCUCGUUAAAUCUUGUUGGAUCUUGUUAGAUCCCGUUUGAUCUCGUUAGAUCUUGUUAGAUACCGUUGGAUCCCAUUAGAUCUCGUUGGAUCCCGUUAGAUCUCGUUAGAUUCCGUUAGAUCUCGUUGGAUCCCGUUAAAUCUUGUUGGAUCUCGUUAGAUCUCGUUAGAU